Long non-coding RNA from Equus caballus (horse), 2578 nucleotides. RefSeq lists it as uncharacterized. The record is from RefSeq and is a predicted model, not a curated record. Lineage: Eukaryota; Metazoa; Chordata; Mammalia; Perissodactyla; Equidae.
GAGGCAGAGAAAGAAAUGCUCCUAUUCACAAACACCGGGUUAUCAUUAGGUCACUAAGCGUUACCCAGUGGCACUCACGCCGGCAAGCCACAGAGGCACACCACCUCACCAGGCUGGUGACCGCGUCACAGGCGCAAGGCCGCAACGGUCUCCCUCACACACACGGUAACGCACGACACGGUCACGCGCAGGCGCCCACGAGCAAGCUAUCACGGCCUCACACGUUCAACCCUCGUAGCAACACGUCACAAAGACACACGCUCUAAGCAGCAGCCUGCAAGACACACCGGCGGACGGACACAGACCUGACAAACCGGGCACGCAGGGACACACCCUCACACGCAGCCCGGACACAGACGGACACACAGCCGCUGGCGGGCCCGCAUAGGCCGGCCCCUCCGCAACAGCGGGUCGCAGCACCCAGCGGCCCGGGACCGCACAGACGCGCCUAGCCGACCCUAACACGGCUAGCUACGCACGCUGUCGCGUCACCAGACCGCCUGGGCCGCAGUGGCCCCUGGGAAAUGUAGUUGGGGGAAGGGGGAGGCCGGAAACGCUCGGGCGAAGGGCUCUGGGGCUGGUAGUUCAGGAGGGAGAAGCCGGCGCUUCGCGCUGUAACCCGCGCGAGGGGCGCCCGCCCCGCCCUGGAGCCGAAGCCCCGCCCCGCCGCGCCCCGCCCCGGAGCCGAAGCCCCGCCCCGCGGUCCCGCUCAGCCCGCUAGGGCUGCGCAGCGGCGUUCCCGCACGGAGCGGGGGCGUAGCGGGAAGGGAAGGGACCAGAGCGCCGGGCAGCGGUGGAAAGGAGGAAGCUCCGUAGGGCGGAGAGGGAGGCUUCCAGAGACCCUCCCACCAGCAGAGCGCGAAGGUGCUGUGGUCAGGAAGCCCCAGAGCUGGGAGCAUCGUCGUGGGAGAGGAGCGCUCUGGUGAUGCUCGUCCGAGGGGAACAGCAAGCCAAGGGACCCGCAGAUGAUGUUAAUUGUGGCAGCUCAUUGCGUUAUAACGGGGCUCAGAGGCUGUAAGAUGAACUUUGGGACGCUCCGUUUCCCUAAUAUCACUCUGUCUCAGAGCAGGCAGAGCUGGAGAAAAAGACUUGUGAGUGCUGCGGACACAACGAAAAUGUCUUCCUGGGGGAGGCGGAGCUCCUGGCUCCCAACUAGGAAGGGAGCCCUCGAGAAAACACUCACUCACUGUGCCCGGGCAACCCAUGAUGCAGAUGCUCUCGAGACAAUGCCCAAGAUUCUAAGCACUUCUAACUGUUCAAGGAGGCCAUGUUCCCAUAUCAUCAAAGUUUACCUCCCUCCAUCCACUCAGAUCAAACAGGAAUAGACUGCUCCAUGCCCUCAAGUUCCUCAUUACCCCGAAGAACGGUCAUGAUUUAUUCCCUAAAAAUUGCAGGCUCCAACUGCUUUACUUUGACCAUUAAUUGAAAAUGGUUCACCCUUCUGUCUGCCAGCCAUGUCUUUUGUCUGCCAUCUUUAGUUCUAAAGAAGUUAUCAAUAAACUUCUUAAGCCAAGUUUACAAUCUACCCACAAAAGAAGACCUCGUUUACAAUUCUUAUUGUAUUCCAUUACACAAUAUAUUUAAACCCAUACUGAAAGCAGAAAGUCAAAUAAUUCCUUUAAGAUGAAGAGCCAUUCAUUAAACCGAUGGAUCCAUUAUUCUCUCAGCUUGCCAUUCUUUCUUUAAAGGCCUCUGGUGAGUCACUGCCACAAAUGACUUUAACUCCUUACAGGAGAGCCUACUAAGGAGUUUUACUAGGUGAAUUUUUAAAAUUCAUCCUUAUUGUGAAACAGACUAAUAAAUACUAAAUUAAUUUUUAUCAACAAAUAAAACAACAAUUCUCUCAGCUUUACAAAGGCUGUGCAUUCAACUUUUAUACACUUGUUAUAUCAUAAGGUUUCUCCUCAGGGUAAAUAAUUAUGCCGUACAAAAGUCUAAGGCUUUCUCACAUGUAUAGCAAACAUGAGGUGAAUGAGUCAGGACUCUAAUUCCAAGAGGCAAAAAUCCAACUCAAAUUAACUUAAGCAAAAAAAGGAAAUUUAUUGGAUCACAAAAAUGAAAAAGUAAAGGAUGGUGUAGACUUCAGGCACGACUGGAUCCAGGAGAUAAAACAAUGUCAUCAGAUUCCUGUGUCUCACGUGCAUUUUCUCUGUGUUGGACAGAUCUUGGGAAGACUUUCCUCAUGGAGUAGCAAAAAGGCUACUGCAGAAAUUUCUUGAAGAGUCGUCACUUGCCUGAAAUGCCUCUCCUGACUUCCCUGAUAUCGCUCAAAUUCACCCUCAUACUUCCAAGGUCCCCUGAAACUGGAGCAUUCGAGGUCAUGACUUGUCAGUCUUCCCAGUACUAUCCUCUGGGAUAUUUCCUCUUCAUCAACGAACCAUUUUGGAGAUAAUUCCUUGAUUUCAUACCAAGACUCCCAGUCUGAAAAAUAUCAAGAAAGCAAAUGUCUUCUAGUUUCCCUUUGCAAGGAGAAAGAAAACUGUUAGGGAAGAAACUGAAAAUUUAACUGAGAGAAGGAGGGGGAAAUGUACAUGGGAUGACAUCUCUCAAAUUACAAUAUGAACAAAAUACAAAGAAA